CGACUUUUACCAGAGCCAGGAGAAAGGGUUCUUACUCAUGAACCCUAAAACUCAUAAACUUGAUCAAAAUCAAAGGAAAUCGAGCAAAGAAAUUGGGGCUUUAACUAAAUUCGUGAUCACCUAAGCUAGGAGAUCACAAGGUGGAGGCUUGGAAAGGAAGCGAGUCAAACGAAUCAAGUGUGAAGGAAAAGCGUGUUUCGGAUGCAAGGUGAAUGUGAAGAGUACCCGGAUGGAGAUCAAGCAUCGAGAAAGAACCGAACACAUUAAAAAGAAUCUUCCGCACGGUGUUUCGUUGUUAUUUCUAAAAUAACGAAUUUAAUUACAUUACGUGGGUUUAUUUUUUAAUUGUAAAAGUUUAAAUAAACCCGUAUUCUCAUAAGUAUGUGUAAUCUUUAAUACACAUUUUUAGUCUAAAGUUAUAAGAAA
Molecule: long non-coding RNA, 426 nt
Organism: Helianthus annuus (common sunflower)
Lineage: Eukaryota; Viridiplantae; Streptophyta; Magnoliopsida; Asterales; Asteraceae
Exons: 3
Source: RefSeq, a predicted model, not a curated record